This 502-nucleotide ribosomal RNA is filed under the name uncultured bacterium. Its description in RNAcentral is "bacterial SSU rRNA". It matches the Rfam family "Bacterial small subunit ribosomal RNA", at positions 28 to 507 of the family's 1533-position model. The record is from RNAcentral.
GGCGAACGCUGGCGGCGUGCCUAAUACAUGCAAGUCGAGCGGAAUGAUGAAGAAGCUUGCUUUCUUCUGAUUUUAGCGGCGGACGGGUGAGUAACACGUGGGCAACCUACCUUGUAGAUUGGGAUAACUCCGGGAAACCGGGGCUAAUACCGAAUAAUCCAUUUUGCUUCAUGGCGAGAUGUUGAAGGACGGUUUCGGCUGUCACUACAAGAUGGGCCCGCGGCGCAUUAGCUAGUUGGUAGGGUAAUGGCCUACCAAGGCGACGAUGCGUAGCCGACCUGAGAGGGUGAUCGGCCACACUGGGACUGAGACACGGCCCAGACUCCUACGGGAGGCAGCAGUAGGGAAUCUUCCACAAUGGACGAAAGUCUGAUGGAGCAACGCCGCGUGAGUGAAGAAGGUUUUUCGGAUCGUAAAACUCUGUUGUAAGGGAAGAACACGUACGAGAGUAACUGCUCGUACCUUGACGGUACCUUAUUAGAAAGCCACGGCUAACUACGUG